RNAcentral lists this ribosomal RNA (518 nucleotides) under uncultured bacterium. RNAcentral describes it as "bacterial SSU rRNA". It matches the Rfam family "Bacterial small subunit ribosomal RNA", at positions 8 to 518 of the family's 1533-position model. The record is from RNAcentral.
AGAGUUUGAUUCUGGCUCAGAUUGAACGCUGGCGGCAGGCUUAAUACAUGCAAGUCGAACGGUAGCAGCAGGAAGGCUUGCCUUCUGGCUGACGAGUGGCGGACGGGUGAGUAAUACCUGGGAAACUGCCUAUAAGAGGGGGACAACACCUGGAAACGGGUGCUAAUACCGCAUAAGCCCUGAGGGGAAAAGGAUGGGAAACCAUGCGCUUAUAGAUGUGCCCAGGAGGGAUUAGCUAGUUGGGGAGGUAAAGGCUCACCAAGGCGACGAUCUCUAGCUGGUCUGAGAGGAUGAUCAGCCACAUUGGGACUGAGACACGGCCCAAACUCCUACGGGAGGCAGCAGUAGGGAAUAUUGCACAAUGGGGGAAACCCUGAUGCAGCCAUGCCGCGUGUUGUGAAGAAGGCCUUCGGGUUGUAAAGCACUUUCAGCGGGGAGGAAGGCUAGAGCUCCAACAGGGCUAAUAGUCGGACGUUACCCGCAGAAGAAGCGCCGGCUAACUCCGUGCCAGCCGCGGC